RNAcentral lists this ribosomal RNA (438 nucleotides) under uncultured bacterium. Its description in RNAcentral is "partial 16S ribosomal RNA". It matches the Rfam family "Bacterial small subunit ribosomal RNA", at positions 29 to 507 of the family's 1533-position model. The record is from RNAcentral.
AACGAACGCUGGCGGCAUGCCUAACACAUGCAAGUCGAACGAGACCUUCGGGUCUUGUGGCGCACGGGUGCGUAACGCGUGGGAACCUGCCCUUAGGUUCGGAAUAACUCCCCGAAGGGGGUGCUAAUACCGGAUAAUGUCUUCGGACCAAAGAUUUGUCGCUUGUGGAUGGGCCCGCGGUGGAUUAGCUAGUUGGUAGGGUAAACGCCUACCAAGGCGUCGAUGGGUAGCUGGUCUGAGAGGAUGAUAGGCCACACUGGGGCGGAGAUAAGGCACAGACGACCCCGGGAGGGAGGAGUGGGGAAGAAUGUACAAUGGGCGGAAGACUGAUGUAGCAAAGCCGCGUGCGGGAUGAAGGAAUUCGGUUUGUAAACAGCUUUCGCCUGCCACGAAGUGUGAGUGACGGUAAUGGGUAAAGAAGCACCGGCUAACUCCGUG